UUCAAGAUGCGAGCUUUAAAUGGAACAGAGACAUCGCCGUUUGGACCAAGCUCGCGUCUGUUAUAUGCGUGUUUCUUGUCGAACACCAGUCGUCGUCUCCAUUUCGCAAGAUUUCUCUACUCUCUCUCUCUCUGUAUGUCGUCCCUAUUUCCCCAAGAUUUCACUACUCCUCUCUCUCUCUCUCUCUCUCUCUCUCUCUGGGUGUGUAUUUAACUGAAUCUUCAUCCACAAACGGACGUCAAUCCUCUCCAAACUGAUUCUGGCAUCACAUUUUUGGAUAUGCAAAAUUUCAAUUUUUGUCUGGAUUGAGUACGACUCAAAUGAGGCUAUCGAUUUCAUCAUUUCAUUUCAGGAUUGAACUUUCUGGCUGAUGAUGAAGUAUAUUUCAUGGUUUUGAUGACCCAAGUAAAUUUAUUAUCCUCGGCAGUUGAUAUGUAACAGACCUGACCACGGGGAGAUACUUGGAGUUCAUAUUUUUGGGUUACACGCUGCAGAUCUCAUCCAUGAAGCAUCCAAUGCCAUAGCGUUGGGGACACGUAUUCAGGUAGUUUUGCUUUGAUAAGUACCAAAAUUCUGCUACAUAAUUCAUCCCCCACACCUUAAUAUGUGAGGUUUCAGAAUGGAUCACUUUCUUGCAACUUUGAAGGUUUUCCUUAGCUUUCAACGUGGGACUUCAUUUUUUACAUCUAGCUCUGAAUUUUCCUAGGUAUUGAAGGAGAGUGACUGUGACUGACACUACACAUUAUACGCAAAUGUAUGUUUUUGGUUUGUACCCUGCAGGACAGCAGUUCAUGCUCAUCCAACCUUGUCCAAAGUUCUUGACGAACUCUUCAAAUAUAUGAGCCUUGAUAAGCCUCUCCUAUCGACUAGUAAAUGCUGAGCGAGCAUGGAAACACUGACGUCUUCCGAUCACAUUUCCUAGAUAUGAUAGUUAAAACCAUUUACUCUGAAUGUUUAGUAUCUGGGUCUUGCCCAUUUGCAUCACAUUGACAGAAAUCAAUCUCUCUCAUCCGCUAAACUAUUGGAGCAGGUAAAUGCUAGAGUCCCUAGUUCCGACUAGUGAACCAAUUGCCGUAUAAAAUCUGGUGUAACAGUUUUGGAGAGAACUUGUAUCAGGGAAUUUCAAGAUAUACUUUCAGCUGUCUCUUUUUAUAGACUUUUGGGGAAUUUCAAGUAUCCAAACCCGAGCAUGUAUCUCCCUACAAUGCCGUCUAUCUUUUUGGAAAGCAUCCUCAAGAGAAACAAAGAAUCCAAGGCGUGAGCCCAUAUACAAGAGAUAAGCGAAAGCAGAGAAAAACUAAAACCUAUACAAGAGAUACUAGAGAGAUAUAUGCCAAUUCUGGCAGAGCUGAGACGAUAAAGAUGUAGGCCUUAUAUUUCUGCUUUGAGAAAGCUCUUAUCCUGACUUCAAAUACAUAUGAUCGGCCGAAUAACAGCCAAAGGGGGCUUAUGAAUGCCUCUAAACUUUCUACUAAUCCUCUCUUGCCAAACAAAAUAAACUGCAGCAGCAAAGGCAACCCUCCUUAGAAGAUUAGGACGUUAGGGAGUAGUCUUCUGUGGCCAAGGGGCAGGGACCUUGGGAAUGCAGCAGAGAUCAGGAGUGGCAGCCCACAGUUGACUAAAGAAGGGACAGGCAAAGAGAAGGGACACUCUCAGAUGCAAAUUUCAGCUGCCUCCCUUGUUCUUCAAUCAUCAGGUGCAAAUUUCGCUGGAUCUCUAACUGCUCAUCAGAACACCGUCGACUGACAAAUAUAAAAAUUCAGUAUAUGAAUCUGAGAAAAAUGGCAUUAACAUGAA
Long non-coding RNA from Rhododendron vialii, 1797 nucleotides. RefSeq lists it as uncharacterized. The transcript is spliced from 2 exons. The record is from RefSeq and is a predicted model, not a curated record. NCBI's taxonomy places the organism in Eukaryota, Viridiplantae, Streptophyta, Magnoliopsida, Ericales, Ericaceae.